UACGUAGGGGGCGAGCGUUGUCCGGAUUCAUUGGGCGUAAAGAGCUCGUAGGCGGUUCGGUUAGUCAGAUGUGAAAACUCCGGGCUCAACUCGGAGAGGCCAUCUGAUACUGCCGUGACUGGAGUUCGGUAGAGGAGUGUGGAAUUCCCGGUGUAGCGGUGAAAUGCGCAGAUAUCAGGAGGAACACCGGUGGCGAAGGCGGGUCUCUGGGCCGUAACUGACGCUGAGGAGCGAAAGCAUGGGGAGCGAACAGG
This 254-nucleotide ribosomal RNA is filed under the name uncultured bacterium. RNAcentral describes it as "partial 16S ribosomal RNA". It matches the Rfam family "Bacterial small subunit ribosomal RNA", at positions 524 to 776 of the family's 1533-position model. The record is from RNAcentral.